AUAGGAAUGGAGAUUCAUAUCAUCCAUCUCCAUUCAUUUAUAUGGGCGCCUUAACUAUCGUUUUUGCUACCAAAAUCCUUCUUCAAUCCCUUUUCUUAUAAGAUUUAUAUAUUAUAUGCCUUAAACACCAAAUUAAAGAACCAAAAUAAAACUUUAAGGAUUACCAAUGUCUAACAAAGAUGACUCUAAAUGUAUAAAGUUACUACCAAUAAGAUCAACUUCAAAAGAUACUAUCAAAAGAAAAGUAAGUUAUAUAAAUUCUAAUAGAAGUCCUUUUAAACAACUUCUUUUUGAGAUAGUAAUCUAUCCACAUCCUAUAAUCAACA
This 326-nucleotide long non-coding RNA is filed under the name Physcomitrium patens. RNAcentral's name for it is "long non-coding RNA (PPAT_LNC004224)". The record is from RNAcentral. Lineage: Eukaryota; Viridiplantae; Streptophyta; Bryopsida; Funariales; Funariaceae.